Molecule: long non-coding RNA, 1917 nt
Filed under: Heterocephalus glaber (naked mole-rat)
Lineage: Eukaryota; Metazoa; Chordata; Mammalia; Rodentia; Bathyergidae
Description: lncRNA (ENSHGLG00100037899.1)
Source: RNAcentral
CGGGCUCACUUUGCAACUUUGUGCGGCGCCGGCCGCAGUGCCAGCUCGGUGGUAUCGUAUGCAAAUACGCAUGCUGACGUUACAGAUCAUGUGGGUUUUGGCGUAGAUUCCCCACUGAUCGGCAUUUUCCCCUCUUUUUCUUUCUUUUUUCUCUUUUUGCUUUUUCUUUUUAAAUUUUGGCCGCCGUCCUCGGAGCGGGCCUCUCUGCCCGAGCCCGGCACGCUGGCUGUCCCUCCGUUUCCCACGGAGCCCCGCGGGCGCCGGCCGGGGAGCGGGCCGAGGGUGGGGGAGCCAGCAGAGUUCCAUUUUGGAAGCCCGCGCUCGUCUCCGCGCGCCCAGCCCGGGUCCCCGCGUCCGCGCGCCCCCAGCCCCGGCGCCGCAGGUCCCGAAGCCCUGGCUGCUCCCAGAGUGCAUCUGUCAGAAGAUUCCCAGGAUGUGAGCCACACAAGUGUGGCGAGUCCUUCAGAACUGCGCUGUGGUGGGGACAGUCUUUGAGGAAGGAGAACUUCCGUCUUCGCAGGGGGGUGCCCUCACCAGUGAGUCCAAGUGGAACUGCCACGCUCACUAGUGCCUGGAGAGCUCCCCAUGCACUCCCGGAGGAGGGACGGGAAUCGUUCACAGUGCCAAAGUCCUACUGCUGUUUCCAAUGGGUCCUUGUACAUACUCGCUCCUCUGACCCAGGCCCGCCUCUUGCUAUACUGGAACUGAUUUGUACUCUACGGGAAUUUUGUUACCUUUUUAAUCAAGGACAACUUCCUUUUCCAGCACUACCACCGCAAGAUUUUUUCCAGGAGUGAAGGCUAACCACAUUGCUUUUCUUUGUUUUUAUUUUUCUUUUAUUAAUUUGGGAAGGGUGUGCUAGUAUUAGUGCCAUUAUAGCUAUUGGAUUUUAAGUAGGGAGAAUUUAUUUUUAAAUGUAGCCUGAAGUUUGGAAGGUUUCUUGGUGGAAAGGGCUGGAUUGGGCUGUCUCCACUCUGAGUGGAUCUGCAGGUGGCAGAUCUCUACAUCAAAUGCACUUCUGGUUCUUCCGGGCUGCUUUGGGACCCCUGCCUCACCCACACACAGGUUUUCCACUCGUCUGACUUCUCCACUGCUUGUCUCAGGCCAGCGUGGCCAGCAUCGCUAGAAGGACUGGGUAGCAGGUGGCUGUUCUCUUAAGCACCUUUUUAAAUACCAGCAGGAAGGGCUCCACAUUUAUUAGCACCAUCUAUGCUUAUGAAGUUAAACAAACAAAAGAUCUCCCUUUCAAGGUGGUACAAAGACAAACAGCUUUGGGUUUUCAUUUCUCUUCUUAACUGCCUUUUCUUGGUGUGGUAUUUGAGAAGCUUUAGCUUGAAGCCUCACCAUGAAUCGAUACUUUGUGUGCGUGCGUGUGUGCGUAAUGCGUGCGUGCGUGCGUGUGUGUGUGUGUGUCUGUGUGUUUUGGGCCAAUUUUAGAUACAUGAGUGCACUUUUUUUUUAGAUAGUCCUAACUUUUAAAGAAGGAAAACCAAGAGAUACAUCCGGUAUAAAUGUUGCAAUGUGAUUUUUGUUUGCAAUCCCUUUUCCCCUCCUGACAUCCUUCUGUUGAGUACACUGCACAAAUAAAAUGCUAGGGAGUUUGAAUAAAAACCAGUUUUUCUAACUUGUUGCUCAUUUGUUGUAACUCAAUAAAGCAAAGACUAAACAUUUUUAUAACCUUUUCCUCUGUUCCUUGCUCUUCACUGCUGCUGGCUCCCAGGCCUUGGGGUUCCAACCGAGUUCCCCCUGCUGCAAAUCCAUCUCAACCCCCUCUCCUCAUCCACCUCGGGGGUCCAACAGCGCAUGGGGCUUUAGAAACAGGCUGCUGCCGUGGGCUCUUCUGAGCCUCUGGAACAGAGCAGGAAGUUCUAGAGCCUCCCUUCUCCAGAGCAGUCUCACAUUGUUCUUAAAAAUCCU